UUAAAUGUUAAACCUUAUUUUUGUCACGUUAUAAAUGUUUAUAACAAAAUAUUUUGAAGAAAUAGUAGGAAAUGUUCAACGGAAUUAUUUAACACUAUGUAUAAAGUGAAAACAACAAGUUUUACAUUUUCAUAAACUGCCGGUGGAAACAAGAUCGCAUAGGUGAAAUUUUAGGAGAAACAUAUAUCAAGUAUGAAUCAGCUUAUUAUUUUGUGGGCUCUCGUUGGAAUGGUGGCGACACAAGCAAUUCCUCCUCUAGGCGAAACUGAGCCAUUAGAAGGACCAUGCCAAUGUAUUCUGAGUUGCUGUCAACAUCAUUUACAAAUCCGAAGGAUUCCGGGUUUACCUUUCGAUCGUCUUAGAUUUAGCUAUCAGUGUUGCGGGUGUAUUGACUGUCCUCCUCAAGUUCCGAGGAAUCCCGAAAGUGAAUUUCCUGUUGUUACUAUUUUAAACGGACAACUUAUUGAAAUCGAUGGUAGCUGACAUUGUGCCAUUAAAUAUUAUCUUCUU
Mytilus trossulus (common blue mussel) is the source of this 510-nucleotide long non-coding RNA. RefSeq lists it as uncharacterized. The record is from RefSeq and is a predicted model, not a curated record. Lineage: Eukaryota; Metazoa; Mollusca; Bivalvia; Mytilida; Mytilidae. The transcript is spliced from 3 exons.